ACCUUCUGUGGUGCAGUUGAUAGCGCCUUGGGUUAGCAUUUACAAGUCCCAGGUUCAAUUCCUGGUCGGGGUA
Molecule: non-coding RNA, 73 nt
Organism: Halocaridina rubra (Hawaiian volcano shrimp)
Lineage: Eukaryota; Metazoa; Arthropoda; Malacostraca; Decapoda; Atyidae
Source: the annotation of a GenBank genome assembly